Molecule: non-coding RNA, 134 nt
Organism: Triangularia setosa
Lineage: Eukaryota; Fungi; Ascomycota; Sordariomycetes; Sordariales; Podosporaceae
Source: the annotation of a GenBank genome assembly
GGUUCUAUAGUGUAGCGGUUAUCACUCCGGAUUCUGAAUUAAAUCUCUCUCGUGCCAUCCUUGUAACACCCAAGGGAAAAAAGUACGUAAGAGAAAUUCUUCCGGCAACCCCGGUUCGAGUCCGGGUAGGACCU